UAAACGAUGCCAACCAGCAAUCCGCCUGAGUUCCUUAAAUGACUCGGCGGGCGGCUUCCGGGAAACCAAAGUUUUUCGGUUCCGGGGGAAGUAUGGUUGCAAAGCUGAAACUUAAAGGAAUUGACGGAAGGGCACCACCAGGAGUGGAGCCUGCGGCUUAAUUUGACUCAACACGGGAAAACUUACCCGGCCCGGACACUGGAAGGAUUGACAGAUUGAGAGCUCUUUCUUGAUUCAGUGGGUGGUGGUGCAUGGCCGUUCUUAGUUGGUGGAGCGAUUUGUCUGGUUAAUUCCGAUAACGAACGAGACUCUAGCCUACUAAAUAGACCAGAGGCUUCUUAAAACACGUCUCUGGCUGCUUCUUAGAGGGACAGGCGGCGGUUCAGCCGCACGAAACAGAGCAAUAACAGGUCUGUGAUGCCCUUAGAUGUCCGGGGCCGCACGCGCGCUACACUGAAGUGAUCAGCGUGCUUUUUGUACCCUGCUCUGCCAAGAGUGGGUAACCCAAUGAACCUUCUUCGUGAUUGGGAUAGGGGAUUGUAAUUAUUCCCCUUGAACGAGGAAUUCCCAGUAAGCGCGAGUCAUAAGCUCGCGUUGAUUACGUCCCUGCCCUUUGUACACACCGCCCGUCGCUACUACCGAUUGAAUGAUUUAG
RNAcentral lists this ribosomal RNA (655 nucleotides) under uncultured eukaryote. RNAcentral's name for it is "SSU rRNA". It matches the Rfam family "Eukaryotic small subunit ribosomal RNA", at positions 1033 to 1701 of the family's 1831-position model. The record is from RNAcentral.